UACGGAGGGUGCAAGCGUUAUCCGGAUUCACUGGGUUUAAAGGGUGCGUAGGUGGAGUGGUAAGUCAGUGGUGAAAUCUCCAAGCUUAACUUGGAACUGCCGUUGAUACUAUCAUUCUUGAAUUAUCGUGGAGGUAAGCGGAAUAUGUCAUGUAGCGGUGAAAUGCUUAGAUAUGACAUAGAACACCGAUUGCGAAGGCAGCUUGCUACACGAUCAUUGACACUGAGGCACGAAAGCGUGGGGAUCAAACAGG
This 253-nucleotide ribosomal RNA is filed under the name uncultured bacterium. Its description in RNAcentral is "partial 16S ribosomal RNA". It matches the Rfam family "Bacterial small subunit ribosomal RNA", at positions 524 to 776 of the family's 1533-position model. The record is from RNAcentral.